UUGUGUGUGCUGGAACUUUGUUUUUCUCUUGUCUUCAAGUAUAUAUCCUUUCGUAUCCAACCCUUUCAACAACAUAUUUUCCAUCUACGAACAUUCUCCACCAUUAAUUAAUGUUGUUUCUACUACCACUAUAUAUAUGCUAGCUACCAAGCUAGCACUGUUGAUCUUUCCUUAUUAACGACCACCGCCGGCCAAUUAUCAACUAAUCCUAGCUAGCUAGCACGUACCGGCCACUUAUAUACCGUCAAGGGACGAGGGCGAUACAAUUGAUGUGGAACCCUAGUGCAGCAACGCCGGUUUGUCAAGAGGAAGAUGAUUCAUGGGAGGUGAAAGCGUUCGCAGAAGAUGCUGGAAAUGUUAUGGGAACCACUUGGCCACCAAGGUCGUAUACUUGCACAUUUUGUAGAAGAGAAUUCCGGUCAGCUCAAGCCUUAGGAGGUCACAUGAAUGUCCACCGCCGAGAUAGGGCUCGCCUCCACCAAAUUCAACCUAACUUACAUAACCCUAAUCUAUCUUCUUCCAAUUCUACCGGUACUCUCUUGGUUCCAACUCAAGAACUUAUGGCAAGCAGUGGUCUAUGCCUUUUGUACUCUUUACCUAACAACCCUAAUGCACUUUUGAACCACUCAUUUUUGAAUGGCAAUAAUCCUUCCAAUUAUCUCACCGUUACACCUCAUUCCAAUACCGGAAACUUCAUGAGCUAUAAAGCAAACACGGUUCCUCAUCAUAGCUUCGGUUCAUCCCUCACUUAUUCUAGCAACACUACUGAAGCAUCAACGCCGACACAUCUUAGUCAUGAAAACAAGAUAUUAGAAAAGACUGAUUCGGCAAUAAUUGAGGGCAUCGAUCUAGAGCUUCGUCUAGGAUGCAGCUCAUCAGCUUCUUGAAAGACAUAUACCUGGAUAUAUAUUGUACAUCAGAAGAGAUAGCUAGAGUGGUGGUAAAUUCUAGUCUAAUAAAGAAGGGAUAAUUCCAAGCUAUGGGAGAAUUCAUGUUGUACGUUCGUUAACCAUUGGAUCAUUAUGAAUGCUGAACUAAGGUUUAAGAUACACAUAUUUUUUGAUUGGUCAAUCGGAGGGAUCUCUGAUCGGAUGUUUCAACAAGGAGAUCAUAUAGCUUGUCGAAGAUGCAAGUCAGAUUUCUAGUAUUUCGUGUUUUAAUUCAUCUUACUUCUCAUAUGGCUUAAUGUUGAGAUAGGUGUACGAGCCUACAAGUUUGGUAUAAAAAGUUUGUAAAUGGUGACAUCAGUUUUUUCCCCCCAAUAUUUUUGAUUGUUUA
This is an RNA transcript of Erigeron canadensis, 1278 nucleotides long. It is a transcript of the gene named transcriptional regulator SUPERMAN-like, with no coding region annotated. The transcript is spliced from 3 exons. The record is from RefSeq and is a predicted model, not a curated record. Lineage: Eukaryota; Viridiplantae; Streptophyta; Magnoliopsida; Asterales; Asteraceae.